Molecule: small RNA, 78 nt
Organism: Mastigocoleus testarum BC008
Lineage: Bacteria; Bacillati; Cyanobacteriota; Cyanophyceae; Nostocales; Hapalosiphonaceae
Rfam family: CyVA-1 RNA
About the family: Cyanobacteria, Acidobacteria (1 example), Verrucomicrobia (1 example). Big IGRs
Source: Rfam
UUGCUAGAGCAGGUGUUAUGCUGUUUGUCCUGCUGAUUGCUUACCAAAGGAGAACGGUGUCAGGAAAGCAACUAGUUA